AAAUUGAUUAAUCUAGCUUAAUGGUUGAAGAGGCAGAAAUCAUGAAAUAAAGAAAGUCAACACACUUUCCUAAAAACAAUUGUAAGAUGGAAAAAUAAAAACACAUAAAUAAAAGUACAAAAAAGUUACAAAUAGCCAAUCCUUAAAGCAUAAGAAAUAUGUAGUGAUUGGAGAAGACAUGCCAAAAAUUAGCCACUCUUUAAAUGAAAAAGUACAAAAAAAAAAGAGC
RNAcentral lists this long non-coding RNA (229 nucleotides) under Populus trichocarpa (black cottonwood). Its description in RNAcentral is "long non-coding RNA (PTRI_LNC000689)". The record is from RNAcentral. Lineage: Eukaryota; Viridiplantae; Streptophyta; Magnoliopsida; Malpighiales; Salicaceae.